CCUGUGUUCCAGGAAGCAAAGGUCUUUAGAUGAAGGUUUUAAGAAUGAAAAUUAACCCACAGAAUGGUGAGGUCAGUUGGAGCCUGGAUUCCAUGGGCCUUUACCCUUCUGAUUGCUGGUGCCACGCCCCAUUGUGAGAAGUCAGGAGUCACAUCAGAAACUUGCUUUUCCUCAGCGGCACCUCCUGCUCGUGACGGGCCCUGUUCCUUUCCCCUCAGAGACGUACCUGGGAUCCAUCCUGGCCUCUCAGUCAGGGCCGACUUCCCCACCCCAGUGUUUGCUACCAUGAUUGUGACCUGUUCUAAGCUGAGUUUCUGCAGCUUUGCCGGUCACAUGCAUUCUUUCCUCCCCAAGACAACCCCUCAUCACACAGCAGAGACAGUGGUCACUGAGAACAUGGUCUGCCUCCCAUCUCUCCCCUUUGUGGGCACCUCAGUGGCCUCCUGCUGCGCUCCGAACAAAAGCAAGAGACCCUGCUGAACCUGGGAUGGGUUGGUAGAAGAUGGGCUCCCCACGGGACCCGGGCGGGGGACAGCCCCCUCAGCCUCACGGCUUCCCAGACAGAGCGAAGGUGUCCUUCCAGUCU
This 586-nucleotide long non-coding RNA is filed under the name Homo sapiens (human). RNAcentral describes it as "non-protein coding lnc-KRTAP5-4-3:1". The record is from RNAcentral. Lineage: Eukaryota; Metazoa; Chordata; Mammalia; Primates; Hominidae.